This 400-nucleotide ribosomal RNA is filed under the name Lepidoptera sp. BAH_28362_E06. RNAcentral's name for it is "partial 16S ribosomal RNA". Lineage: Eukaryota; Metazoa; Arthropoda; Insecta; Lepidoptera. The record is from RNAcentral.
GCUGCAGUAUUUUGACUGUACAAAGGUAGCAUAAUCAUUAGUCUCUUAAUUGGUGACUUGUAUGAAAGAUUGGAUGAGAUAUAAACUGUCUUAUUUUUAUUUAUAGAAUUUAAUUUUUUAAUUAAAAAGUUAAAAUUUUUUUAAAAGACGAGAAGACCCUAUAGAGUUUUAUAUAUAAUUAAUUAAAAAUUUUUUUAUUAAUAUUAAAUUUAAAUUAAGAAAUAUAUUUUGUUGGGGUGAUAGAAAAAUAAAAAUAACUUUUUUUUAUAUUAUAUUUAUUUAAUUUAUAAAUUAAAAUGAAUAAUUUACAUUAAUAUUUGAAUAAAUGAUCCAUAAAUUAUGAUUAAAAGAUUAAAUUACCUUAGGGAUAACAGCGUAAUUUUUUUUUUUAGUUCAAAUA